Molecule: long non-coding RNA, 670 nt
Organism: Pseudophryne corroboree (corroboree frog)
Lineage: Eukaryota; Metazoa; Chordata; Amphibia; Anura; Myobatrachidae
Exons: 2
Source: RefSeq, a predicted model, not a curated record
AGAAAGCCAUUAAGUUGGCAGUUGGGCAGCCAUGUUAGGACUGAGGGCUGGCAACUAGAAGUGACGGAGUUUACCAGAGGUGCAGAUCAGCUACUGCGUGUGCUCCCAUUCCUGUGAACAGCAGAUAGCAUCAGGCUAGUUCCCACGGUGCUUCCCCGGCUGAGGACAAGUCAUCCUGUCACCCAGCAUACAGCAGUGACUGAAGGAAGCAGAGCUGUGUUCUGAGCCUCCUGGGGAGCAGAGUGGCAUCGGGUGGGAGAAAAGGUGGCACCAGCUUUGCCUAAGCCAUCCCAGAUGCGUGGCCCACCAGAGAUUGAUAGCGGAAGGAGAAGCAAGUUUAAGGGACAGCUCAUUCUCGUACAGCCAAGGCAGACUGUGAGGCAGGGCUGGAAGCAUCAUAUAAGGACACUGCUGUCUACAGGAGAGGCAGCUGAGGGGCUUGUGGUUCCCGUGUUGGCGGACUCUCCAACAGUUGGAAUGGUGGUCUUGAGGAGACAUUUGAUAUGCGUUGUUGAUGUGUUGACUCGUGUUGUCUAGUGUGGACAUCCGGCCUGUGUCUCUUGUGGGCCAUAUGUCUUUGCCUGCCAGAAUCCUCUGGACGCCUCCUUCUGGGAUUGAGCCAUUGUGUGGAUGGUCCUAUACACAAAAAUAAACUUAAUGUUGUGCCAAA